Molecule: ribosomal RNA, 698 nt
Filed under: uncultured archaeon
Lineage: Archaea
Description: bacterial SSU rRNA
Rfam family: Archaeal small subunit ribosomal RNA
Source: RNAcentral
GGAUAACCUACCCUUAGGACUGGGAUAACCCUGGGAAACUGGGGCUAAUACUGGAUAGGCAAUUAUUCCUGCAAUGGUUUUUUGUUUAAAUGUUUUUUCGCCUAAGGAUGGGUCUGCGGCCGAUUAGGUAGUUGGUUAAGUAAUGGCUUACCAAGCCGUUGAUCGGUACGGGUUGUGAGAGCAAGAGCCCGGAGAUGGAACCUGAGACAAGGUUCCAGGCCCUACGGGGUGCAGCAGGCGCGAAACCUCCGCAAUGUGAGAAAUCGCGACGGGGGGAUCCCAAGUGCCAUUCUUAACGGGAUGGCUUUUCAUUAGUGUAAAGAGCUUUUGGAAUAAGAGCUGGGCAAGACCGGUGCCAGCCGCCGCGGUAACACCGGCAGCUCUAGUGGUAACAAUUUUUAUUGGGCCUAAAGCGUCCGUAGCCGGUUUAAUAAGUCUCUGGUGAAAUCCUGUAGCUUAACUGUGGGAAUUGCUGGAGAUACUAUUAGACUUGAGACCGGGAGAGGUUAGAGGUACUCCCAGGGUAGAGGUGAAAUUCUGUAAUCCUGGGAGGACCGCCUGUUGCGAAGGCGUCUAACUGGAACGGUUCUGACGGUGAGGGACGAAAGUUAGGGGCGCGAACCGGAUUAGAUACCUGGGUAGUCCUAACUGUAAACGAUGCGGACUUGGUGUUGGGGUGGCUUUGAGCUGCUCCAGUG